RNAcentral lists this ribosomal RNA (798 nucleotides) under uncultured bacterium. Its description in RNAcentral is "bacterial SSU rRNA". It matches the Rfam family "Bacterial small subunit ribosomal RNA", at positions 8 to 796 of the family's 1533-position model. The record is from RNAcentral.
AGAGUUUGAUCAUGGCUCAGGAUGAACGCUAGCGGCAGGCUUAAUACAUGCAAGUCGAGGGGCAGCAGGGGUGUAGCAAUACACUCGCUGGCGACCGGCAAACGGGUGCGGAACACGUACGCAAUCUACCCAAAACUGAUGAAUAGCCCUCCGAAAGGAGGAUUAAUACAUCGUAACAUCUUAGAGUGGCAUCACUUUAUGAUUAUAGCUCCGGCGGUUUUGGAUGAGCGUGCGGCUGAUUAGGUAGUUGGUAUGGGUAACGGCCUACCAAGCCUGCGAUCAGUAACUGGUGUGAGAGCACGACCAGUCACACGGGCACUGAGACACGGGCCCGACUCCUACGGGAGGCAGCAGUAAGGAAUAUUGGUCAAUGGACGCAAGUCUGAACCAGCCAUGCCGCGUGAAGGAUGAAGGUCCUCUGGAUUGUAAACUUCUUUUAUAGGGGAAGAAACCCGGAAAUUCUUUUCCGGUUGACGGUACCCUGGGAAUAAGCACCGGCUAACUCCGUGCCAGCAGCCGCGGUAAUACGGAGGGUGCAAGCGUUAUCCGGAUUCACUGGGUUUAAAGGGUGCGUAGGUGGAUUUGUAAGUCCGUGGUGAAAUCUCCAAGCUUAACUUGGAAACUGCCGUGGAUACUAUAAAUCUUGAAUGCUGUGGAGGUGAGCGGAAUAUGUCAUGUAGCGGUGAAAUGCUUAGAUAUGACAUAGAACACCAAUUGCGAAGGCAGCUCACUACCCAGAUAUUGACACUGAGGCACGAAAGCGUGGGGAUCAAACAGGAUUAGAUACCCUAGUAGUCC